Caenorhabditis elegans is the source of this 68-nucleotide non-coding RNA. The record is from Ensembl. NCBI's taxonomy places the organism in Eukaryota, Metazoa, Nematoda, Chromadorea, Rhabditida, Rhabditidae.
AGGGUUCAUCUUUCGGCUUCCGGUCACAAAGAGGAAUUUGUGAGAUUCUCAUGUUACACCGGUCCACU